This 300-nucleotide long non-coding RNA is filed under the name Capsella rubella. RNAcentral describes it as "long non-coding RNA (CRUB_LNC000771)". Lineage: Eukaryota; Viridiplantae; Streptophyta; Magnoliopsida; Brassicales; Brassicaceae. The record is from RNAcentral.
AAGAAAUUUAUUUAAAUUAUUUAAUCACUUAAGAUUUUAUAUUACGAUUCUUAAUAAUUGUUGAGAAAAUUUCACCUAAAUAUAAUAACUGUUUUAGAUAUAUUCUAAUUUUUUUUUUUAGUUUUUGACUUGAAUAUUUCCAAAUGGAGUUAAAGAAUGAUUUUAAUGAUAAAUAAUAUAAAAUAUAAAUGAAUUCAAUUAUGAAAAUAUAUACAUAAAUUCAAAUGAAUAAUUAAUCAUCUUAGUUGUCGGUUGUCACAUUCGAAAUGUGAAAGUGAUAUAAACAUGUGAUUUUUACUC